Long non-coding RNA from Amphiprion ocellaris (clown anemonefish), 690 nucleotides. The record is from Ensembl. Lineage: Eukaryota; Metazoa; Chordata; Actinopteri; Pomacentridae.
CAUGGCAACUGUAAACAUUGUGCGGGAGCAUGCCCGGUUGUCAUGGGAACUGUCUGCGGGAGCAUGAAGGCAGCCGGACGGAGCGCGUCUGCGGGUCACUGGCAACAUUAGCCGAAGAGAGAACUGUACAAAAAUAACAUUAGCAACACAUCAGCAUGUUACAAUCCACAGUUGCUCCAGUGGAGGGGAGGUUACGUCGCUGUGUGCCAAGCCUGCCAGCUAUCAAGCCAGACAGGCUGAAAACCGCUAAAGCACUGGUGGAGAAAGCAGUGAAGUGGAGGAAAGUGUUUUCAGUGCAGGGACCCUUAUCCUGUGAUCCGCGCUGCCUUAUGGGCCAGAGGGUGGGUGGAACGUCAUUUUCCCCAUCCGGUCCAGAGAGCCCCUCAUUACCAUGGCGAUGACGAAGAAGAUGGUGAUGACGGGGAUGGAGGUGCUGAUCUUAGUGACCAAAGAACUACAGACACUUCACAACCUGCUCAAACUCUUGGUACAGGACCUCACCACACGGGUCAAGAAGGUUUCCAUCUCAUUUCUACUCUGAAGAUCACCUUCUCCUGCUCAAACUGCUGACAAAUGUUUCUGCUGCUCUAAAGUCUGGUCUCCAGAACUUCCUAAAAACUCUCAAAGUCUCUUCUGCUGCAGGUUGCUUUGUAGAACUGUUUCAGAAAACCUCACUAAACCACAUGGAGG